RNAcentral lists this ribosomal RNA (253 nucleotides) under uncultured bacterium. RNAcentral's name for it is "partial 16S ribosomal RNA". It matches the Rfam family "Bacterial small subunit ribosomal RNA", at positions 524 to 776 of the family's 1533-position model. The record is from RNAcentral.
UACAGAGGUCCCAAGCGUUGUUCGGAUUCAUUGGGCGUAAAGGGUGCGUAGGCGGCGCGGGAAGUCGGGUGUGAAAUCUCGGAGCUUAACUCCGAAACUGCAUUCGAUACUGCCGUGCUUGAGGACUGGAGAGGAGACUGGAAUUUACGGUGUAGCGGUGAAAUGCGUAGAUAUCGGGAGGAACACCUGCGGCGAAGGCGGGUUGCUGGGCUGACACUGACGCUGAUGCGCGAAAGCCAGGGGAGCGAACGGG